Dermacentor albipictus is the source of this 1794-nucleotide long non-coding RNA. RefSeq lists it as uncharacterized. NCBI's taxonomy places the organism in Eukaryota, Metazoa, Arthropoda, Arachnida, Ixodida, Ixodidae. The record is from RefSeq and is a predicted model, not a curated record.
GACGGACAGCACAUGUGUAGUCAGCCGGCAUUUUUCGAGUCGUGUUGUAAAUGUUGUUAAUUCGCCGUAAAUAUCUCUUGAUUUGUACUCAAGGGUGGAGCAAGACCCCAAGGAAGAGAGAUUGACGCAUCGGGAGCGAAGAACAGAAACGAUGGAUGGUUACGCUGCUUGGGUCUCGGCACGUUCGAAUUGGCAAAGUUCCGAAUUUGUUGCUGUGUUGUGUACGCUUGUGCGCUCGUUAUUUGCCGUCAUCGCGCGGAGAUAUUUGCGCUGGAUGUCUUUCACUUCGUGUACAAAACUCUGCUCGCUGCGGCAUCGAAGAAGUUGUCCUGUGUUUGGGAGCACGUAUGCGCUUGGACACGGAUAGCCUGCUUGCUCUCAACGGGUGUUCAACAGUCUACGCGCGCUCGUAACUUGCUCAUGAGGCAAGUUGCUGUUGUGCUGGAGCUGAGAAGAGGUCUGCUGCCUGCAAUGGGUCCAUCUCUCUCAAGUGAUUGCAGUAUUAUAGCUCUCAAGGUUCAAAAAAAGUAUGGUGGAAGCUGUUGCCAAGGUUCCGACCAGAAAAGACAGCCAGUAUAAAAGGGUCCACGCCACUGAUCUCUACUACAGGGGAUGAACAGCACAUCGAGCGCCCUCGACUGAAGCUGGCCUUGUCCCGGAAGUUGGUGCUUGACAACUUUGCGGCAGCACUUUGUUGCACGGCCUGUGGAGACAAGGUUUCUUAGACAUGGCCGUGGCCCUCAAGGAAGAUGCCGAGGCCACAGGCAGUUCCUCCAGUGACCGUGAAAAGGUCCCCUGGGGCACAAGUCUGGUUUGGCACCCCCACCUUUCUGCUGCAGCUUUUCUGUCUACUUAGCUAAACAGCAGCAAGUUUAUCCUUGCAAGUGUUUGGAGUCAAGAACAACUUUCACCAGGAAGAAGUGCAAGACGAGUGAUUGAAGAAAAUAAAGUUGCUUCUGUGAUCUAAGAACUUGAGGACUGAAAUGUUGCACCUUUUUGUAUAUAUGCUAUGCAGUGCAUUCAUAUCACCAAGUGCAAAGUGUUUUAUCUCUGUAGCCAUGUCAGUGUGUUGGCAAGACAAUUUUCUCAAUGGUGACCUGCUGCUUUGACUAUGAGCUGCCUUCAUGACAUUUGCAUUAAAGGAGAUGUACUAUCGUGGACAAAAGUACCCUGGAAGUGCGAGCGUUGACCAAAUUGCAUUUCUGCUCAAGACCGCUGAAAACAGUGGGUCACGUAUGCACAUUCCGAACGCAGAUGGUGGCACGGCUGAUCCCAGCAAAUAGCACACCAAUGAAAUUCGGUCGACUCUCGCACGUCCUGGGCAAUUUUGUGCCCGAUGGCACAUUCUUCGAAUGGAUAUGCUCUGCAAGAUGAAAUACGGGAAGCACCUGUACUUUAACGGAUAUAGUACAGAUUUAGUAUACGGAGUCUUUCGUUUUCUGAAUACGGCAAGCACCUGUUUUUUAACGGUUAUAGUACAGAUUCAGAAUACAGAGUCUUCCGUUUUCUAGAUACAGAAGCACUCGUAUCUUGUAUUACGGUCUCUGUUUUUACAGUUGUCCGUACUACGGAAAUGACCGUUCUUAAUUUACGGAAGAGUGUUCGGUCACAAAUUACCAGCAAAUUUUCUGUAAAGUAAGGCAAAUUUUUUUUACAGUGUGCCAAAACCACUUUUUGAUUAUGAGGCACGCCGUAGUGGAGGACUCCGGAAAUUUCGACCACGUGGGGUUCUUUAACGUGCACCUAAAUCUAAGUACACGGGUGUUUUCGCAUUUCGCCCCCAUCGAAAUGCGG